This 644-nucleotide ribosomal RNA is filed under the name Salmonella enterica. RNAcentral's name for it is "partial 23S ribosomal RNA". It matches the Rfam family "Bacterial large subunit ribosomal RNA", at positions 1 to 678 of the family's 2925-position model. RNAcentral also lists the same sequence under 1 other name. Lineage: Bacteria; Pseudomonadati; Pseudomonadota; Gammaproteobacteria; Enterobacterales; Enterobacteriaceae. The record is from RNAcentral.
GGGUUGUGAGGUUAAGCGACUAAGCGUACACGGUGGAUGCCCUGGCAGUCAGAGGCGAUGAAGGGCGUGCUAAUCUGCGAUAAGCGCCGGUAAGGUGAUAUGAACCGUUAUAACCGGCGAUACCCGAAUGGGGAAACCCAGUGUGAUUCGUCACACUAUCAUUAACUGAAUCCAUAGGUUAAUGAGGCGAACCGGGGGAACUGAAACAUCUAAGUACCCCGAGGAAAAGAAAUCAACCGAGAUUCCCCCAGUAGCGGCGAGCGAACGGGGAGGAGCCCAGAGCCUGAAUCAGCAUGUGUGUUAGUGGAAGCGUCUGGAAAGGCGCGCGAUACAGGGUGACAGCCCCGUACACAAAAGCGCAUGUGUUGUGAGCUCGAUGAGUAGGGCGGGACACGUGGUAUCCUGUCUGAAUAUGGGGGGACCAUCCUCCAAGGCUAAAUACUCCUGACUGACCGAUAGUGAACCAGUACCGUGAGGGAAAGGCGAAAAGAACCCCGGCGAGGGGAGUGAAAAAGAACCUGAAACCGUGUACGUACAAGCAGUGGGAGCACCCUUUGGGGUGUGACUGCGUACCUUUUGUAUAAUGGGUCAGCGACUUAUAUUCUGUAGCAAGGUUAACCGAAUAGGGGAGCCGGAGGGAAACC